GCUGCCGUAGCUCAGCCGGUAGAGCACGUCCUUGGUAAGGACGAGGUCACGGGUUCAAGUCCCGUCGGCAGCUCCA
Molecule: transfer RNA, 76 nt
Filed under: Planctomycetota bacterium
Lineage: Bacteria; Pseudomonadati; Planctomycetota
Description: tRNA-Thr
Rfam family: tRNA
About the family: Transfer RNA (tRNA) molecules are approximately 80 nucleotides in length. Their secondary structure includes four short double-helical elements and three loops (D, anti-codon, and T loops). Further hydrogen bonds mediate the characteristic L-shaped molecular structure. tRNAs have two regions of fundamental functional importance: the anti-codon, which is responsible for specific mRNA codon recognition, and the 3' end, to which the tRNAs corresponding amino acid is attached (by aminoacyl-tRNA synthetases). tRNAs cope with the degeneracy of the genetic code in two manners: having more than one tRNA (with a specific anti-codon) for a particular amino acid; and 'wobble' base-pairing, i.e. permitting non-standard base-pairing at the 3rd anti-codon position.
Source: RNAcentral